GCGUCAUUUAAUUUGAUCAGUCUGUCCAGUUGGCUGAUUUUCACGUAUGUUCAUCUACAAUGAUUUUCAAACAUUUGACCUUUUGCCUGUUAGGUCAUGUAUGCACAUUUGGAAUUCAUAAAUCGGAACAACGUAUCAUGCUCCAGAGGGAGGCUUAUGAAGAGAUCGUCGAAUCGACAGCUUACAUCGAUAAAACCCGGUUUAUUCGAGAUUUAUUUAACCUGCCGCAAUAUCUUGUGAUCAUAGGCCCUCAGGGUUUCUCCAAAACGACAAACCUGAACAUGCUGAAAUCAUUCUUUGAACACGAGCUGGAUAGAACCCAUACUGCAAAGGACCCAAAAACCUCAACAAAACUACAUACGUUCAAAGAUAAAAAAAUAUUCACCGAUGAGAAAUUUUUUUGGCAGCACUUCGCUAAGUACCCUGUCAUCCACUUAGACCAAAGCGCUGUAACGACGAAAAACUUCGACGAGUUUUUGAAAAGCUUCGUUAAGCAUUGCAUUGACCCUCUAACGGAGAAAUUCAGCUACUUAUGGAACAAUACCGACAUCAAAAUGAAUGAAAAAGCCAAAAAGGUUAUCCAUGGACUAAAGACGAACUCCAAGACUUCGGUGCAGAACUUGCAAGUCUUCUACACCAUCAUCACGGAACCAAACCUAUACUUUUGAUUGAUGAGUACGAUUCUCCUUCAGUCUCCGCCCUUCUGGACGCGGGUGUCUCUGAAAAAGACACCGAGGAUAUAGUAAAAUUUUUAGUACUUUUGUUGCCGAAAUGAUACAACAUAAUCACAACACUUUUCGUGCCGUUUUGACCGGGCGUUUGGCCCUGUCACUGAUCCCAAAACUGAAACAUUGUACAAUUUUCGAGUCCGAAAAAUUGUCCUCUGCGUACGGCUUUCUAGAGGCUGACCUCAAUGAACUUGAAAAGCGAUUUGCAAUGGCAUCUCCUGAUAUGGAGCAUACCAGAGCUUACUACAGAGGAUAUUGCGUGUACGAAAAACCUAAAGAACGAAUAUACAGUUCUCAGUCAAUCAUUUAUUCACUGCUCAGUAGAACAGUUACUGAAUAUUGGUCCGGGGAUCUCAUCGAUAAAUUAAGGCCUCUCCUCGGGGCUGAACAGUGGGGGCCAGCGCUGGAAAUGUGCAUCUUGAAACGGUGUAAGAUUACAGUGACAGGUCUCAUGAAAAAAACCGAUAUAAUGCAACUCAAAAAAUCUCUGCUUUUCUCUAAAAAAGCAGACCCUGGCGGACAAUUCUUGUUCCAGAUUUUGGUGGAAACCGGUUAUUUCACGGUGGAGGAAAAACAGGGGUAUUGCACACGAUCUCAGUGCCGAACGUUGAGGUGCAAACGGUAAUGAUGGACGAGUUCUACCGCGGUAACUAUUUGCACGAGCGGUAUGGAUUCACCGAAGAAGACGAAAAGCACUACUUGACGUCGCUCGAUAAGUUGAGCUCGAACGUAGCCACAUUGCAUACCCUCGUGCGGUCUGUCCAGACGCUGUUUCGGAAUUUGGCACCCAAAGAUGAGGUUUUCAUGCAGGUGGUAUUGCUCCACCCACUUUUGAACUGCUCGGAAUUCUCGACUUAUCCCUUUGAAAGGGACGAUAGUUCCAUCUCAAGUUAUGCUAUUUUCGCCAAACGGUGGCGCGAUCAUGCAGGGAUCCUUUUCGAAGCGAGGGCUGGACCCAAUCUUGAUCAAGAAACGAAAAGGGAUGUCUCAUAUGUAUUCGAACAAUUUCCUGACUUGAAGGAUACGGUUGAUUUACGUUUGGUUGUGAGCGGAAGAAACGAGGUCUAUGGUUUUUACACCUAUACAACUUUUGGCGGGAGCUCUGUAUGUGAACUUUGGCCACCACAGAAGAAAGUCACUUGAAGUGAUAGUGCUGUAUCCAGUUGAGGGCGUUGUGUCAAACUUGUGGGAAAGUUGGAGUUUAGUCUCUUAAGAUAAAAUGUAUCUUUAAAAGCAAUAUGACGCUUAAAAUAUGUUUUAAAAUAUAUCUAAAAACGAAAAAAAUGUUUCAGACACGUCUCUUUAAAACAGGGAAAAAAUUUAGGCAUCUAAAAAUGACUUCGAAACGCCUAACCUCAUAAGUUAUCGUGACCCUCAUGUGUUUUCAGAAUGUUUUGAAGUAAUUUUUUUAUGAUUUUAAAAACAUCUUCAAAAAAAUUGGACUUUCUUUUCUAUAUCAAAAUAAUUAUAAGGUAUUUUGUUAUGCUUGAAAAUUGUUAAAAAUGGGGGUUUCAAAAAACAUGUAUCUAAAAUUCACAAAAGGACUUCAAGAACUGAGAAUGCCUAAGAUGUUUCCUUAAAUUUCUUAAAACACGUUCCGAGUAUUUCUUCCAAAGUUUCUUAAAGAUAACAAAAACAGACUAUUUGAGACUAAUUGAGUAAAUGCUGCCUGAUUUUAUGCCAAAUAUCAUUAAAGAUGCCGCAAUUGACCACUAGACAAGGUACAAAUGUAAGCAAUCUGAUACAUGUUUCUUGAGCAGAAUUUUACGUAGAAUACGCUUCACACAACGAAAAUUACUGAAAAAAACUCCUAACGAAGAUAUUAACGUUUUUAUUUCACAUUGGUUACGAGGAAUUUGAACUGCCCGCUCUCAAGAAACUCAAAGCUCUACGUGAGUCAAAUCGCGCACUACAACGGUUUCAGCAAGCUUCUCAAUCGAGCAAUGUUCA
This 2678-nucleotide long non-coding RNA is filed under the name Bemisia tabaci. Its description in RNAcentral is "lncRNA ENSASIAIIG002404". Lineage: Eukaryota; Metazoa; Arthropoda; Insecta; Hemiptera; Aleyrodidae. The record is from RNAcentral.